CAUUACUGAGUUUACGCUCUAUAACCCUUUGUGAACAUACCUAUAACUGUUGCUUCGGCGGGUAGGGUCUCCGCGACCCUCCCGGCCUCCCGCCUCCGGGCGGGUCGGCGCCCGCCGGAGGAUAACCAAACUCUGAUUUAACGACGUUUCUUCUGAGUGGUACAAGCAAAUAAUCAAAACUUUUAACAACGGAUCUCUUGGUUCUGGCAUCGAUGAAGAACGCAGCGAAAUGCGAUAAGUAAUGUGAAUUGCAGAAUUCAGUGAAUCAUCGAAUCUUUGAACGCACAUUGCGCCCGCCAGCAUUCUGGCGGGCAUGCCUGUUCUAGCGUCAUUUCAACCCUCAAGCUCUGCUUGGUGUUGGGGCCCUACAGCUGAUGUAGGCCCUCAAAGGUAGUGGCGGACCCUCCCGGAGCCUCCUUUGCGUAGUAACUUUACCUCUCGCACUGGGAUCCGGAGGGACUCUUGCCGUAAAACCCCCCAAUUUUCCAAAGGUUGACCUCGGAUCAGGUAGGAAUACCCGCUGAACUUAAGCAUAUCAA
RNAcentral lists this ribosomal RNA (539 nucleotides) under Colletotrichum fructicola. RNAcentral describes it as "eukaryotic LSU rRNA". The stretch from base 178 to 331 matches the Rfam family "5.8S ribosomal RNA". The record is from RNAcentral. Lineage: Eukaryota; Fungi; Ascomycota; Sordariomycetes; Glomerellales; Glomerellaceae.